GAGUUUGAUCUUGGCUCAGGAUGAACGCUGGCGGCGUGCCUAAUACAUGCAAGUCGAGCGGUAAGGCUACUUCGGUAGUACACGAGCGGCGGACGGCUGGGUAACACGUAGGAACGUACCCCAAAGUGAGGCAUAAGCACCAGAAAUGGUGUCUAAUACCGCAUGUGAUCUUCGGAUUAAAGCUUCGGCGCUUUGGGAACGGCCUGCGCAUGAUUAGCUUGUUGGUGAGGUAAUAGCUCACCAAGGCGACGAUCAUUAGCUGGUCCGAGAGGAUGACCAGCCAGACUGGGACUGAGAACGGCCCAGACUCCUACGGGAGGCAGCAGUAGGGAAUUUUCCACAAUGGGCGAAAGCCUGAUGGAGCAACGCCGCGUGCAGGAUGAAGGCCUCGGUUGUAAC
This 399-nucleotide ribosomal RNA is filed under the name uncultured bacterium. Its description in RNAcentral is "bacterial SSU rRNA". It matches the Rfam family "Bacterial small subunit ribosomal RNA", at positions 9 to 429 of the family's 1533-position model. The record is from RNAcentral.